This 114-nucleotide non-coding RNA is filed under the name human gut metagenome. Its description in RNAcentral is "THF riboswitch". The stretch from base 19 to 114 matches the Rfam family "THF (Tetrahydrofolate) riboswitch aptamer". Rfam says of the family: THF riboswitch presents a pseudoknot that joins P1-P2 and the loop of P3 and two THF binding. The record is from RNAcentral.
AGAGUAAGUUGACAGGCGCCGCGCGCAGCAAACUGCGCGCCCAGUGCCGGCUGAACGGGGAGUUGUCAGCCGGACGAAUGGAGUAUCCUGCGGUCUGUCUGCUGCAUCCCGCUG